CGCUGGUCUGAGGGCAGUGGUAUUUACAACUAAUUGAUCACAGCCAGUUACAGAUUUCUUUGUUCCUUCUCCACUCCCGUUGCUUCACUUGACUAGCCUAAA
Unclassified non-coding RNA from Cercocebus atys (sooty mangabey), 102 nucleotides. It matches the Rfam family "Y RNA". From Rfam's summary of the family: Y RNAs are components of the Ro ribonucleoprotein particle (Ro RNP), in association with Ro60 and La proteins. The Y RNAs and Ro60 and La proteins are well conserved, but the function of the Ro RNP is not known. In humans the RNA component can be one of four small RNAs -- hY1, hY3, hY4 and hY5. The record is from Ensembl. NCBI's taxonomy places the organism in Eukaryota, Metazoa, Chordata, Mammalia, Primates, Cercopithecidae.